This is a long non-coding RNA of Anopheles gambiae (African malaria mosquito), 490 nucleotides long. RefSeq lists it as uncharacterized. The transcript is spliced from 3 exons. The record is from RefSeq and is a predicted model, not a curated record. NCBI's taxonomy places the organism in Eukaryota, Metazoa, Arthropoda, Insecta, Diptera, Culicidae.
UGAAAAUGUGAUAGUGUUAAAUCAAGUUUGCAAGCGGUAGGACGCGUCGGUGUGUGUCCGUUUUUUCUCUCGUGAAACCAGUACGGAAAAACUAUUUGAAAUCGUAACACACGCACGAACGGAAGUGAGCACGGACCACAACAGAAGCAAUAUUCAAUUGGUUGGAGUGCCGAAAACAGAACAGGAGAGGAAAGAAGGCAGGAACGAUCCGAUCCUCCAACGUGCUAGCGCCUGGUAGAGGAGAAGCGGCAGGAAGGUAGAGACGAACAUCCACCUCGCUAGUGCAGCACGUAGGAGCAGCAAGAGGGAAGCAAGCAGGACGCGUACACACCAUUCGACGAAGGCAAAGCUGGAGGAAAGGAAGAACGAGGAGAGAAGGCAGGUAAGACGGGUACGUGUGUAUCCCGCACCGGUUUUCGGCAGUGUGAAUUGUGUGAGUAUUGAAAAGUGUAUGUGUGAGUAGAGGUAAAGAGGUUAAAUAAAAAGCGAA